Drosophila virilis is the source of this 415-nucleotide non-coding RNA. The record is from RefSeq and is a predicted model, not a curated record. NCBI's taxonomy places the organism in Eukaryota, Metazoa, Arthropoda, Insecta, Diptera, Drosophilidae.
GUAGAAAAAUCGAAUAAAAAAGGAAAGCGCCCAAGUAGAUCAUCAUUUGGAAAAACCAUAAGAAACCGUUGGUCGAAUGAAGAGCGUGAAGAAAUAUACCAACGCAGUUAUAAAUAAUUCUACAUAUCUAAAAUGUAGGACACCGACGCAAGUAAAAACAUAGAUAGAUUAUCAGCGCAAGGCUAAAUCAAGAAAAUCAAGUCCACAAAUAGAUUAAAUAAUGAAUAUGUUGACCAUAUUUAGAACUAAAUUGACUAUACUUUUUCGUAUUUUUUUAUGUUAAUACUAAUUUAUGCUAAGAAUAUUUGGAAUUUGUUAAAAAUGCAUACUAUAAAUGUAUUAAAUAACGUCAUUUAUGUAAAUUCAUAUUGUUAAUUUUACUUUAACCUAAGAUGAUUUGAAACUGCAUUCAAAA